AUUAUUAAGUGUUACAGAUCCCAGAACACACACAGCUAUACAAGCUGAGAUAAAAAUCCAGAAAAACCAAAAAGAACCCAAAAAAAAAUACAUCAAGGUAGCAGAACAUGACUACCAAAAGAAACACUAGAACAUCCAUCACAGCACAUCAUCAGAAGAGUGGGGGACAACUUCAACAAAAAUAGUCAGAGGAGCUUGCAUCUUCAUCAGAACCAGAACUGCCACUUGUUUCAUCUUUAGAUU
This 243-nucleotide long non-coding RNA is filed under the name Lathyrus oleraceus (garden pea). RNAcentral describes it as "Pisum sativum (pea) long non-coding RNA (PSAT_LNC034168)". The record is from RNAcentral. Lineage: Eukaryota; Viridiplantae; Streptophyta; Magnoliopsida; Fabales; Fabaceae.